This 237-nucleotide ribosomal RNA is filed under the name uncultured archaeon. RNAcentral's name for it is "partial 16S ribosomal RNA". It matches the Rfam family "Bacterial small subunit ribosomal RNA", at positions 335 to 590 of the family's 1533-position model. The record is from RNAcentral.
UCCCUACGGGGCGCAGCAGUGGGGAAUCUUGGACAAUGGGCGAAAGCCUGAUCCAGCCAUGCCGCGUGAGUGAAGAAGGCCUUAGGGUUGUAAAGCUCUUUUGCCCGGGAAGAUAAUGACGGUACCGGGAGAAUAAGCCCCGGCAGACUUCGUGCCAGCAGCCGCGGUAAUACGAAGGGGGCUAGCGUUGUUCGGAUUUACUGGGCGUAAAGCGCACGUAGGCGGAUUGUUAAGUCG